ACCGUCAUCUAGCCACAGCGGCAUCGGCUGAGACCUUCAUCCUGAUUGUUCCUUGGGUGCUGUUUAGUGCCAGCCACUGAAGAGAACCUCCUUGUUUCCACCCACGUGGCCCCAUCUGGUUUCAGGGCCUCCUCUGUGCUAUUUUGGGGUGCGAGGAGAUCAUUUUUCAACGCCUACAGCAUGGCGGGACUGGGAACUCCACAGCCUCCGCAACACUUUUCGUGCCGCCAUUUCUUCUCAGGGUCUUGCCGCCUUUCUCAAGCUCAGCCUGUGGAGUAAAGCGCAGGCACAUCUCUCAGAGACGAGGUCCAUUAUAUUGCCCAGGCUGGUCUCAAGCUCCUGGGCUCAGGUGAUCCUCCCACCUUGGCCUCCCCAAAUGCUGGAAUUACAGUUAUUGCUUGAUGGAUUCUGCUAACUCCCAGGAGAAUCCAAGUGGGAGGACAAGUAGAAGAAAAAAGAGUCCAAAGGCUGGAGCCCUCAGUUUGUUGUUUAUGGAACAUUCCUGCAGUCCCCAGAAGGGGCAUGAAAACAUUUGCUUAGAAAAAACAAUACUAAAAUUUAUAUGGAACUACAAAAGACCCAGAAUAGCUAAAGAUAUCCUAAGCACAAAGAAUGAAACUGGAGGAAUUACAUUACCUUACUUCAAAUCAUACUAUGGAGCCAUAGUAACCAAAACAGCAUGGUACUGGCAUAAAAACAGACACACAGACUAAUGGAACUGAAUAGAGAACCCAGAAACAAAUCCACACAUCUACAGUGAAUUCAUUUUUUACAAAGGUGCCAAGAAUAUCCACUGGAGAAAAGACAGUCUCUUUAAUAAGUGGUGCUGGAAAAACUGGAUAUCCAUACGCGCAAGAAUGGAACUAAA
Molecule: long non-coding RNA, 868 nt
Organism: Homo sapiens (human)
Lineage: Eukaryota; Metazoa; Chordata; Mammalia; Primates; Hominidae
Gene: TMEM212-AS1
Product: TMEM212 antisense RNA 1
Source: Ensembl